UCCAACAGGCAUUGCCCCAGUAGCGGCGAGUGAGCGGCAGAGCUCAGAUUUGAAAUCGUGCUAUUUUUUUGGCACGAAUUGGAAAGGGGAAGGGGGAGGCUUUGGGGAGCACGGGGGCCCAGUCCCUUGGAACCGGGCGCCUGAAAAGGUGAAAACCCCCUGGGGUGCCCGGCCAAGCUUUGAAGCCCCGGUGACGAGUCGAGUUGGUUGGGAAUGGCGGUUCCAGGGGGUGGUAAAUUUCAUCUUAGGGUAAAUACUGGGGAAAAAACCAAAACGAACCAGUACUGGGAAGGAAAAAAGAAAAGCACUUUGAAAAAAAAAUGGAACAGGACGUGGAAUUGGUGAAAGGGAAAGGUAUUGGGCCCGACAUGGGGAAGGCGCACCCGUUUCUCUUGGAAGCGGCGCUCUGGGCCCUUUCUGGGCCCGCAUCGGUUCUUGCUGGGGGAAAAUGGGUGGCGGAAAGGGGCUCUUCGGAAUGGUAUUACCCGCGCCCGAUACCCGGGGCGGGGACCCAGGACUGCCGCUUCUGGCUUCGAUGCUGGCACCACGGCGCAAUACCGCCCUUCGAAAAACCCGGACCCA
RNAcentral lists this ribosomal RNA (582 nucleotides) under Pichia membranifaciens. Its description in RNAcentral is "partial 26S ribosomal RNA". It matches the Rfam family "Eukaryotic large subunit ribosomal RNA", at positions 64 to 669 of the family's 3401-position model. The record is from RNAcentral. Lineage: Eukaryota; Fungi; Ascomycota; Pichiomycetes; Pichiales; Pichiaceae.